This is a non-coding RNA of Schistosoma curassoni, 45 nucleotides long. The record is from Rfam. Lineage: Eukaryota; Metazoa; Platyhelminthes; Trematoda; Strigeidida; Schistosomatidae.
AUCCAACUGACGAGUCCUCAGUAGGACGAAACGCGCGUCCUGCAU